CCCCUUUUGCGCUGGCGGCGCCGGAUCCAUUUUAACCCACAAAGUAACGAAACGGGACCGCGUAUUUCGCUGCGGAUUGCAGGCCUCCCGCCCUCUUCGGAGAGUCGGAAGUUGGAAGCGCUGAAACAGUGAAGAGCGGACCCACCUGCAGAAAGCGCAGGUUACUACGGGUCCGGUGUCGCCAGGGCGAAAGGGGC
This 197-nucleotide non-coding RNA is filed under the name Ruminococcaceae bacterium AM07-15. RNAcentral describes it as "6S RNA". It matches the Rfam family "6S / SsrS RNA". From Rfam's summary of the family: E. coli 6S RNA was the first non coding RNA to be sequenced, but its function was unknown until recently. The record is from RNAcentral. Lineage: Bacteria; Bacillati; Bacillota; Clostridia; Eubacteriales; Oscillospiraceae.